AGAGUUUGAUCCUGGCUCAGAACGAACGCUGGCGGCGUGGAUUAGGCAUGCAAGUCGAACGGUCGUGAUCAUAUGUCUCUGCGUCUUCGGACAAAGGGUCGGUCACGAUAGUGGCGGACGGGUGAGUAACGCGUGGGCAAUCUGCCCUUGACCUGGGGACAACCCUGCGAAAGCGGGGCUAAUACCGAAUGUGGUCAGAACUUCGCAUGAUGUUCUGAUUAAAGGCGGGGAUCCGAAAGGACCUGCCGGCCAAGGAUGAGCCCGCGUCCUAUUAGCUUGUUGGUGAGGUAACGGCUCACCAAGGCUGCGAUGGGUAGCCGGCCUGAGAGGGUGAUCGGCCACACUGGGACUGAGACACUGCCCAGACUCCUACGGGAGGCUGCAGUCGAGGAUCUUUCGCAAUGCCCGAAAGGGUGACGAAGCGACGCCGCGUGAGCGAUGAAGGCCUUCGGGUUGUAAAGCUCUGUCACACGGGAGGAAAUAUGUCCGGGUUAAUAGCCCGGGCACUUGACAGUACCGUGAGAGGAAGCCCCGGCUAACUACGUGCCAGCAGCCGCGGUAAUACGUAGGGGGCGAGCGUUGUUCGGAUUUAUUGGGCGUAAAGGGCGUGUAGGUGGUUGUGCAAGUCAGAUGUGAAAUCCCUCCGCUUAACGGAGGAACUGCAUUUGAUACUGCUCGACUUGAGUGCAGGGGAAGAGAACGGAAUUCCCAGUGUAGCGGUGAAAUGCGUAGAUAUUGGGAAGAACACCAGUGGCGAAGGCGGUUCUCUAUUCUGCUACUGACACUGAGGCGCGAAAGCGUGGGGAGCGAACGGGAUUAGAUACCCCGGUAGUCCACGCUGUAAACGAUGGGCACUGGGUGUAGGAGGUAUCGACCCCUCCUGUGCCGAAGCUAACGCAUUAAGUGCCCCGCCUGGGGACUACGGCCGCAAGGCUAAAACUCAAAGGAAUAGACGGGGGCCCGCACAAGCGGUGGAGCAUGUGGUUUAAUACGACGCAACGCGUAGAACCUUACCGAGGCUUGACAUGCUGGGAUUAACCCUGUGAAAGCAGGGGGAUUGCCCGUAAGGGUGUAACCAGCACAGGUGUUGCAUGGCUGUCGUCAGCUCGUGUCGUGAGAUGUUGGGUUAAGUCCCGCAACGAGCGCAACCCUCGCCCUUUGUUGCCAGCGGAUAAUGCCGGGGACUCUAAGGGGACUGCCCGUGAUAGGCGGGAGGAAGGUGAGGAUGACGUCAAGUCAGUACGGCCCUUACGCCUCGGGCUACACACGUGCUACAAUGGCCGGUACAAUGGGUUGCAAGACCGCGAGGUGGAGCUAAUCCCCAAAACCGGUCCCAGUUCGGAUUGGAGUCUGCAAUUCGACUCCAUGAAGUCGGAAUCGCCAGUAAUGGCGCAUCAGCUACGGCGCCGUGAAUACGUUCCCGGGCCUUGUAC
Molecule: ribosomal RNA, 1433 nt
Filed under: metagenome
Description: bacterial SSU rRNA
Rfam family: Bacterial small subunit ribosomal RNA
Source: RNAcentral